GUGAGGAAUUUUCCGCAAUGGGCGAAAGCCUGACGGAGCAAGGCCGCGUGAAGGAUGAAGGCCUAUGGGUUGUAAACUUCUUUUCUCAGAAAAGAAUUAUGACGGUAUCUGAGGAAUAAGCAUCGGCUAACUCUGUGCCAGCAGCCGCGGUAAGACAGAGGAUGCAAGCGUUAUCCGGAAUGAUUGGGCGUAAAGCGUCUGUAGGUUGUUUAAAAAGUAUUCUGUCAAAGAUUAGGGCUUAACCCUAGAUAGGCAGAAUAAACUUUUAAGCUAGAGUUUGGUAGAGGCAGAGGGAAUUCCCGGUGGAGCGGUGAAAUGCGUAGAUAUCGGGAGGAACACCAAAGGCGAAGGCACUCUGCUGGGCCAAUACUAACACUGAGAGACGAAAGCGAGGGGAGCAAAUGGGAUUAGAUACCCGGGUAGUCC
This 426-nucleotide ribosomal RNA is filed under the name uncultured bacterium. Its description in RNAcentral is "partial 16S ribosomal RNA". It matches the Rfam family "Bacterial small subunit ribosomal RNA", at positions 354 to 796 of the family's 1533-position model. The record is from RNAcentral.